RNAcentral lists this long non-coding RNA (1059 nucleotides) under Astyanax mexicanus (Mexican tetra). RNAcentral's name for it is "lncRNA (ENSAMXG00005002986.1)". The record is from RNAcentral. Lineage: Eukaryota; Metazoa; Chordata; Actinopteri; Characiformes; Acestrorhamphidae.
AUGCAAAUUGUGUUUACGUUGCUUUACGUCAAAUUUUUCGCAACACGUUUUUUUUUUUACUAUAGCUACAAAACUUACGAAAACCCAGUCUGUGUAUUUCAAAACGUCUGUUUAUUAGUGCCCCCUAAGAAUGCAGCUCACGUUUUUUUGUUGCUUUACGCCAAAUACAUCGCAACACAUUUUUAACCAUAGCUACAAAACUUACGAAAACCCAGUCUGCGUAUUUUAAAGCAUCGAGCACCGAGUCUCAGUAUCUCGAAGCAUUUUCGCCUGCAUUUUACUGCCCCCUUGUGGAAAUGCUCAGAAUGCAGCUCGCGUUUUCGUUACUAUACGCCAAAUACGUCGCAACACGUUUUUGUUACACCAUAACUACAAAACUAACGUAAACCCAGUCUCUCUGCGUAUCUCAAAGCGUCUGCGUUUGUGUCCUUGUGUGAAUUACAUUUCUUUCAGUUCUACGAGAACUGCUGUACGCCAUACUCUAAUCUAUUAUGUGUGUAUUAGGGUAUUACAUGUGAUACUGUAGGUCAACGCUUUAAAAGGUCAAAAUACACGGGACGAGAGAACAAUAUCCACCUGCCAAUGCUUUCAGAGGUCAUAUAGUCGAUAUAGUUUUGAUAUAUUUCCUCACUGCUUAUCAGGAACAUGAUGAUAAUAAUUCAGAGUGUAAAAGAGUGUAAAAAUUAACUGAAAAGUUAUUUGUGAAAUGUGUUCGUUUGAUUGAUUUCCUUUUUUUCCUUAAAUCUCUGAAUUGUAGUGUUAUGUUGUUUUUGUUUAAUUUUUCUGGAGUGGGUGUUUUUUAUUUUGAGUGGGACGUGAGUUUGUAAAUUAAGGUUGAAGUAAAGAAGUGUGGCCUUUUAAUAUUUAGAUUUAUGCUGACUUCCGAUGAUUAACUUACUUCCCUAUCUUAUUUUUCAGCAGGAUUAUCUGUAGUGCUGUAGUGUGUUUAAGUAGGUGCCAGAUCAAGCUGAGGAGAGCUAAAGGUCGUGUGGUUUCACGAUUCUGGUGGAAAUACAGCUCUGGAAUAAAAUAAGAGAGCACUUAAAAAUGAUGAGUUUC